GCCUGAAAUGUGGCAAAAGGUCGCAAAGUUCAAGGGGGCCGAAUACUUUUGCAAGGCACUGUACAUUCCAAGCAUGUGAGAGACUGUACAGUACCAAUAUAUACUGUCAUUUAUCCUGGAUGAGUUUCCCGAAACAAAUGUGGCAUGUGGCGCUCGACAGCCUAGCCUCUCAGGCGCAAGAGAGUAACUGUGCUUGAACAAACUAAUUAAUAAAAUUAAGCACGUUCUAUGAGUGGCAUCGGCGGGGGUCUGGGUUUUUGAGAGAAAUAAAGUACCACGUUAACACCCCUGCUCAGAGGCCUGUGGUUGUGAUUAUAGGGCUUGAAUAGUUGAAGGAAAAUAUGGGGGAUAUGAAUUCUGAUGUGACUGUGGCUGGCUUAGUAUAAUUACAAGCCAGAAUCCUAACCUGAGAUCUGAGCAUGUAACACAAACAGAAAGUUAAGUAUUACAUUAUCUCAAGCAUACCAACACAGCUUAGUUUGAAUGGCAUGGAGGAUUGAUACAAUACUCUUUUAGUCACUCCACAGUCAGUCAUGUAAAAUGGAAUUGAGAAUGAAGAGCAUUUUAUACUAGCUCAUGUUCUGUCACACAAUCAAUUCAUAAAAGACAUGGCAGCCUAGGUUGGGGCUUGUUUUAUCUGUCAACCAUACCAAAUACCAUACCAUACCGUAUUUCUGUAAGAUACUGAGGGCUCUAUUUUAUCAAACUUAAUGCCAUGGUAAGUCACUAAGGCUAAGACUGUUGGUAGCGCUAUAGGUCCAGAGGUGUUUUUUUUGUUGCUAUUUUCACUGCAGAAAUUAUGGGCGCAGUAGCUGGCAGUUGUGUGAAAGGGCUGGGAUAAAUUGGGAGGCUUGUCCCCUCACUGGCCAAUCAGAACGAGGUCCAUGGCUAAAUAUGUGGGUGCUUCUAGUUGUGUAUUUACGGUCUUUCAUGUUUUAAGUUGUUAUCAAAGCCAAUUUGAAUGUUAGUCCGCUAUAGCCUAGUUUGUUAAAUAGCCUACAGAAACAAAAUAACAACAUGUAGGCAUAUUCCAUCUUUGCUAAAUACAUUGAACAUGUUUGCAGUCCAUAUUGUUCUAAGUCUUGUUCUGCCAUUGCUUCAAUAUGGAAAUACACUACCGUUCAAAAGUUUGGGUCACUUAGAAAUGUCCUUGUUUUUGAAAGAAAAGCUAAUUUUUUGUCCAUUAAAAUAACAUCAAAUUGAUCAGAAAUACAGUGUAGACAUUGUUAAUGUUGUAAAUGACUAUUGUAGCUGGGAAACUGCAGAUUUUUUAUGGAAUAUCUACAUAGACACAUACAGAGGCCAACCAUCACAUCAGCAACCAUCACUCCUGUGUUCCAAUGGCAUGUUGUGUUAGCUAAUCCCAAGUUUAUAAUUUUAAAAGGCUAAUUGAUCAUUAGAAAACCCUUUUGUAAUUAUGUUAGCACAGCUGAAAACUGUUGUAAUAAGCAAUAAAACUGGCCUUCAUUAGACAAGUUGUGUAUCUGGAGCAUCAGCAUUUGUGGGUUCGAUUACAGGCUCAAAAGGGCCAUAAACCUUUCUUCUGAAACUCGUCAGUAUAUUCUUGUUCUGAGAAAUUAAGGCUAUUCCAUGAGAGAAAUUGCAAAGAAACUGAAGAUCUUGUACAACACCGUGUUACGACACCCUUCACAGAACAGUGCAAAUUGGCGCUAACCGAAAUAGAAAGAUGUGUGGGAGGCCCCGGUGCACAACUGAGCAAGUCUGGAUGUAAUUUUUUUGCAGUACUGUUUAUUCGAGAUGAUAUGAACAAUGUGGACAAUUUUCAGCAAGUUGCAACAUUGAAACAGAAAUAAACAGUUUUCCAUAAACAAGGUCUAAAUCAUGUUUGAUUGCACCUCUGGAUGUCAUUUUAUUUGCAGUACUGUUUAUUCGUGAUGAUAUGAACAAUGUAGACCAUUUUCAGCAAGGUGGAACAUUGAAACACAGAAAUAAACACUUUUCCAUGAACAAG
Long non-coding RNA from Oncorhynchus tshawytscha (Chinook salmon), 1972 nucleotides. Lineage: Eukaryota; Metazoa; Chordata; Actinopteri; Salmoniformes; Salmonidae. The record is from Ensembl.